GGUCUUAUGGCGCAACUGGUUAGCGCGUCCGGCUGUUAACCGGGAGGUUGUAAGUUCGAGCCUUACUAGGACCG
This is a transfer RNA of 74 nucleotides. It matches the Rfam family "tRNA". Rfam says of the family: Transfer RNA (tRNA) molecules are approximately 80 nucleotides in length. The record is from Rfam.